UACGAAGGGGGCUAGCGUUGCUCGGAAUUACUGGGCGUAAAGCGCACGUAGGCGGAUUGUUAAGUCGGGGGUGAAACCCUGGAGCUCAACUCCAGAACUGCCUUCGAUACUGGCGAUCUCGAGUUCGGGAGAGGUGAGUGGAACUGCGAGUGUAGAGGUGAAAUUCGUAGAUAUUCGCAAGAACACCAGUGGCGAAGGCGGCUCACUGGCCCGAUACUGACGCUGAGGUGCGAAAGCGUGGGGAGCAAACAGG
This 253-nucleotide ribosomal RNA is filed under the name uncultured bacterium. RNAcentral's name for it is "partial 16S ribosomal RNA". It matches the Rfam family "Bacterial small subunit ribosomal RNA", at positions 524 to 776 of the family's 1533-position model. The record is from RNAcentral.